Homo sapiens (human) is the source of this 1365-nucleotide long non-coding RNA. RefSeq lists it as uncharacterized. The record is from RefSeq and is a predicted model, not a curated record. The transcript is spliced from 6 exons. NCBI's taxonomy places the organism in Eukaryota, Metazoa, Chordata, Mammalia, Primates, Hominidae.
AAAAAUAUAAAAGUUUAAGAAGACAAAGUAGAAACAGUCAAUGGCUCCAUUUCUCUGGCAAACUAAUCAACCAAACUGUUCUAUCUACAUUUGACGGGAAACCCAAAAUUUCAGUGAUCCCACACUAAUGUUCACAUUGUUUUUCUGCUAUAUAGGAACACUUUUAACAUGUUCCCUCUGUCUCACUGUUUGUCAUGUACUCUCUGUAGACUACUUUGCCAACAUUAAAAUGAAAUGUUCAGCAUCAAGCUCAUCAUUCCUGUCUCACUUCACUCCGAAAUCUGCUAGCCACAGAGUUAAAAGGACAGGAUUAAGAGUCAUUAGACACAGUAUUAAGGAGAAUUAAAGGGCCUGUUCAAGAGGCAUAACAUCUGCUCCUCAAAUUCCUGCCUAAACAACGAAGAUUCCGAUCAAAGAGAAGAGAGGGAAAGCCAAUCUAACCAGUAAACCGGAGUCAUGAGGAAGUGAAUGCUCUCUCAGGGAGUAACUCUGACACCAGAGGAAGGCUUAGUGACAUUGCACAAUUGUUUCUGUGAAGUCAUUCAUGGGGCAAGUGGGAGUAUAUGAGUAGAAGUGGAAGGGAGUGGGAAGGUGAAGAUUGAGGAUCCUUUUAAGUAGUUUUUGCUCAGCUAGCAAAACAAGCUGGGACAUGCAAGACAGAUAAACACAGCUGUUUGGGGCUGUCACUUGGGGCUCAGGAGCCAAGGUGUCCUGCUGUAGUGAAAAGUGCACCGGAAUUAAAUAGCUAGGCUUCUAAGCCCUACCACAGAGAGUCAACAGACAAACUGCCCAGGGAAAAGUUAUGACCUCAGGCAAAGUGAAUUUCUACAGCUAAGGCAGAUCCUGAAGAAGCUCACAAAUAAAGGCUGCAUACUCACACAUUCCCUGAAGCUUGACAGUGCCAGCCACCAUACUGUGAGGGAGCUGAAGUAAGCCCACAUGAGGAAGAAUUGAGGUCCCAAGCCAACAGCUGCAGCUAAGAUCCAAGCUCUCAACCAGUACCAGUUCAUCCGUUAUUUCCCAACAAUAUCAAUGAAUAAGAAGGAAGUCUUAAGGCUCCAGGAAUCCCCUCAGGGAGACUAGCUUUCAGAAUUUUAGGCACACUAAGAUAUGGAAGCUAAAAGAGGACUAAGAGGAUUCUGGGGAUAUUACAAGAUAUUGCAGACUAUCUUGUUUUCCUGGAAAAGGAUUUUACCUCAGUCGACUGAAUUACUUUUUUCACUGUGUCUUGCCACUCUUCGUGCAUGCAUCAAAGACCCUAAUAUGACUUCUGGUGGCCUGGGACUCCUUGGGAAAACAGAAAAGGGGCCACAAAUCCCAUUUUGGGAACAAUCUGUUUUACUCAUGGAACCCCUGGAAUUAGAG